RNAcentral lists this ribosomal RNA (200 nucleotides) under uncultured bacterium. RNAcentral describes it as "partial 16S ribosomal RNA". It matches the Rfam family "Bacterial small subunit ribosomal RNA", at positions 28 to 231 of the family's 1533-position model. The record is from RNAcentral.
GAUGAACGCUAGCGGCAGGCCUAACACAUGCAAGUCGAGGGGUAGAGGCUUUCGGGCCUUGAGACCGGCGCACGGGUGCGUAACGCGUAUGCAAUCUGCCUUACACUAAGGGAUAGCCCAGAGAAAUUUGGAUUAAUACCUUAUAGUAUGUAGGAGGGACAUCCCUUUGACAUUAAAGAUUUAUCGGUGUAAGAUGAGCA